RNAcentral lists this ribosomal RNA (578 nucleotides) under uncultured bacterium. Its description in RNAcentral is "partial 16S ribosomal RNA". It matches the Rfam family "Bacterial small subunit ribosomal RNA", at positions 355 to 932 of the family's 1533-position model. The record is from RNAcentral.
UGGGGAAUUUUGGACAAUGGGCGAAAGCCUGAUCCAGCAAUGCCGCGUGUGUGAAGAAGGCCUUCGGGUUGUAAAGCACUUUUGUCCGGAAAGAAAUCCUUGGCUCUAAUACAGUCGGGGGAUGACGGUACCGGAAGAAUAAGCACCGGCUAACUACGUGCCAGCAGCCGCGGUAAUACGUAGGGUGCAAGCGUUAAUCGGAAUUACUGGGCGUAAAGCGUGCGCAGGCGGUUUGCUAAGACCGAUGUGAAAUCCCCGGGCUCAACCUGGGAACUGCAUUGGUGACUGGCAGGCUAGAGUAUGGCAGAGGGGGGUAGAAUUCCACGUGUAGCAGUGAAAUGCGUAGAGAUGUGGAGGAAUACCGAUGGCGAAGGCAGCCCCCUGGGCCAAUACUGACGCUCAUGCACGAAAGCGUGGGGAGCAAACAGGAUUAGAUACCCUGGUAGUCCACGCCCUAAACGAUGUCAACUAGUUGUGGGAAUUCAUUUCCUUAGUAACGUAGCUAACGCGUGAAGUUGACCGCCUGGGGAGUACGGUCGCAAGAUUAAAACUCAAAUGAAUUGACGGGGUCAUAGCUG